GCUUGAAGCUAACAACGACAAAGAGUGCGUUUGCUGUCCAGAUUUGGUGAUACUUACCCCCACCCCAACAAUACUAUUCCGCUCUAGCAUCGUCAGUCCGUGUUGCCGGUUUCACAGAAUAUUUUAUCCCCAACAUUCUCCCACCCGUGAAACAGGUAACAGGUCUGACAUUUAAUUGCCACAUUCACAUGGAAUGACAAAAAUUGAACGGUACAAUUAAUCACCCAGAAUGCCAAAAACAAUCGUCGCAGUGCGUGUAGCUAUCGAACUGAGAGAGAGAGAGAACAAACGCUCCCACCGGGAUCGAAAAUAACGAAAACACACACUCUAUCUUUUGUUAACACCACUGCCACACAGAAUUCAUAUUUGGUGGUUAUUCCGUAGGAAAGAAUUUUAAUGCUGCGCUGCUUUUCAGGCACUGUUUCCCCAACCUUGAACAUUUUGGGCAUAUUUGCACAUUGGUAACUUGUGCUCUCGAGAUGGCAACACUGAAAGAAACUUUGGAGUAAUGACAACUACCGCUUGGUUCUUAAAAAUACUAUUCGUGAAAAUAUUUGAGAUAAAUAGAUUUGCGCUUGUAGUUACUACAAUGCGGUUGAAAUCGCUAUGCUGUUAAGGGGUUGAUUUAACUACUUUUAAAUAGUUAAGAAAACUAUAAUUUUGCAUUGAAGACAAACACAUGUUUGCUCGUUUUUACCAUGGGCAUGGUAAUAGUAACAACAAUCCUCGAUACUAAUGACAUUGCAAACUACGCCAUUUUUCCAUCGACUUGUGUGUUUAUAGAUGAAUGAGAAUGCUCGGAAAGUGAUUGAUUUCUUUGUUCAUUCAUUUAUAUAAUUAUUCAAAACUAAUAAUAUUUAUUUUGCACAGAGCUAGUUUGAUCAACACAGUGAUGGUCACGUCCUGCUGCAUUUUUUAUGUUACAAAAUUGAGCGACGAUCUACUCUGUUUUUACUUCUAUCGGACAUUGUACAAACGAAACCCCGUAGCUCAAAAUUUCUCCAAAUGGCAAGGAGCUUGUGAACCAAGAAAUAAUAGAUAAAACACAAGCAUUAAGUGCAGCUUGGCAACUUCGCUAGGAGAAGAACAUUAAAUUCUUACCUUUUAUAAUAUAAUAAUGCAACUAGUUUUGCAAAAACCUAUUGAUUAAUAAACAAUGCUUUAGCCGUAAGAA
Molecule: long non-coding RNA, 1174 nt
Organism: Aedes aegypti (yellow fever mosquito)
Lineage: Eukaryota; Metazoa; Arthropoda; Insecta; Diptera; Culicidae
Exons: 3
Source: RefSeq, a predicted model, not a curated record